RNAcentral lists this ribosomal RNA (215 nucleotides) under Mammaliicoccus sciuri. RNAcentral describes it as "Staphylococcus sciuri partial 16S ribosomal RNA". It matches the Rfam family "Bacterial small subunit ribosomal RNA", at positions 547 to 760 of the family's 1533-position model. The record is from RNAcentral. Lineage: Bacteria; Bacillati; Bacillota; Bacilli; Caryophanales; Staphylococcaceae.
GGGAAAAUUGGGCGUAAAGCGCGCGUAAGCGGUUUCUUAAGUCUGAUGUGCCUAGCCCACGGCUCAACCGUGGAGGGUCAUUGGAAACUGGGGAACUUGAGUGCAGAAGAGGAGAGUGGAAUUCCAUGUGUAGCGGUGAAAUGCGCAGAGAUAUGGAGGAACACCAGUGGCGAAGGCGGCUCUCUGGUCUGUAACUGACGCUGAUGUGCAAAAGC